Molecule: ribosomal RNA, 503 nt
Filed under: uncultured bacterium
Lineage: Bacteria
Description: partial 16S ribosomal RNA
Rfam family: Bacterial small subunit ribosomal RNA
Source: RNAcentral
AUUGAACGCUGGCGGCAGGCUUAACACAUGCAAGUCGAGCGGGGUGAUGGUGCUUGCACUAUCACUUAGCGGCGGACGGGUGAGUAAUGCUUAGGAAUCUGCCUAUUAGUGGGGGACAACAUCUCGAAAGGGAUGCUAAUACCGCGUACGUCCUACGGGAGAAAGCAGGGGAUCACUUGUGACCUUGCGCUAAUAGAUGAGCCUAAGUCGGAUCAGCUAGUUGGUGGGGUAAAGGCCUACCAAGGCGACGAUCUGUAGCGGGUCUGAGAGGAUGAUCCGCCACACUGGGACUGGGACACGGCCCAGACUCCUACGGGAGGCAGCAGUGGGGAAUAUUGGACAAUGGGGGGAACCCUGAUCCAGCCAUGCCGCGUGUGUGAAGAAGGCCUUAUGGUUGUAAAGCACUUUAAGCGAGGAGGAGGCUCUUUUGGUUAAUACCCAAGAUGAGUGGACGUUACUCGCAGAAUAAGCACCGGCUAACUCUGUGCCAGCCGCCGCAGUAA